GAUUGCAGGCUGCAACCCGCCUGUAUGAAGUUGGAAUCGCUAGUAAUCGCGAAUCAGCAUGCCGCGGUGAAUACGUUCCCGGGCCCUUGUACACACCGCCCGUCACACCAUGGGAGUCGGUAACACCCGAAGCCUGUAGUCUAACCGCAAGGAGGACGCAGUCGAAGGUGGGAUUGAUGACUGGGGUGAAGUCGUAACAAGGUAAC
This 206-nucleotide ribosomal RNA is filed under the name uncultured bacterium. RNAcentral's name for it is "partial 16S ribosomal RNA". It matches the Rfam family "Bacterial small subunit ribosomal RNA", at positions 1296 to 1500 of the family's 1533-position model. The record is from RNAcentral.